GUUUAUGGCCAUACCACCCUGAACGCACCCGAUCUCAUCUGAUCUCGGAAACUAAGCAGCGUCAGGCCUGGUUAGUACUUGGAUGGGAGAAAUAUAAGUUUUAGAGC
Molecule: ribosomal RNA, 107 nt
Filed under: Heterocephalus glaber (naked mole-rat)
Lineage: Eukaryota; Metazoa; Chordata; Mammalia; Rodentia; Bathyergidae
Source: RNAcentral